Molecule: ribosomal RNA, 253 nt
Filed under: uncultured bacterium
Lineage: Bacteria
Description: partial 16S ribosomal RNA
Rfam family: Bacterial small subunit ribosomal RNA
Source: RNAcentral
UACGGAGGGGGCUAGCGUUGUUCGGAAUUACUGGGCGUAAAGCGCGCGUAGGCGGCUUUGUAAGUCAGAGGUGAAAGCCUGGAGCUCAACUCCAGAACUGCCUUUGAAACUGCAUCGCUAGAAUCAUGGAGAGGUAAGUGGAAUUCCGAGUGUAGAGGUGAAAUUCGUAGAUAUUCGGAAGAACACCAGUGGCGAAGGCGACUUACUGGACAUGUAUUGACGCUGAGGUGCGAAAGCGUGGGGAGCAAACAGG